Molecule: transfer RNA, 87 nt
Filed under: Candidatus Phytoplasma pruni
Lineage: Bacteria; Bacillati; Mycoplasmatota; Mollicutes; Acholeplasmatales; Acholeplasmataceae
Also listed under: 2 other names
Description: tRNA-Leu
Rfam family: tRNA
About the family: Transfer RNA (tRNA) molecules are approximately 80 nucleotides in length. Their secondary structure includes four short double-helical elements and three loops (D, anti-codon, and T loops).
Source: RNAcentral
GCUGGUGUGGCGAAAUUGGCAGACGCAUUUGACUCAAAAUCAAACGAGGUUAAACUCAUAUCGGUUCAAGUCCGAUCAUCAGUACCA